RNAcentral lists this ribosomal RNA (159 nucleotides) under uncultured Rhizobiaceae bacterium. RNAcentral describes it as "partial 16S ribosomal RNA". It matches the Rfam family "Bacterial small subunit ribosomal RNA", at positions 1227 to 1382 of the family's 1533-position model. The record is from RNAcentral. Lineage: Bacteria; Pseudomonadati; Pseudomonadota; Alphaproteobacteria; Hyphomicrobiales; Rhizobiaceae.
CGAAUGGUGGUGACAGUGGGCAGCGAGACCGCGAGGUCGAGCUAAUCUCCAAAAGGCCAUCUCCAGUUCGGAUUGCACUCUGCGAACUCGAGUGCACUGAAGUUGGAAUCGCUAGUAAUCGCAGAUCAGCAUGCUGCGGUGAAUACGUUCCCGGGCCUU